UACGUAGGGUGCGAGCGUUAAUCGGAAUUACUGGGCGUAAAGCGUGCGCAGGUGGUUUGUUAAGUCAGAUGUGAAAGCCCCGAGCUUAACUUGGGGAACUGCGUUUGAAACUGGCAAGCUAGAGUCUGUCAGAGGGGGUAGAAUUCCACGUGUAGCAGUGAAAUGCGUAGAGAUGUGGAGGAAUACCAAUGGCGAAGGCAGCCCCCUGGGAUAAGACUGACGCUCAUGCACGAAAGCGUGGGGAGCAAACAGGAUUAGAUACCCUGGUAGUCCACGCCCUAAACGAUGUCAACUGGUUGUUGGGCAACUUGAUUGUUCAGUAACGAAGCUAACGCGAGAAGUUGACCGCCUGGGGAGUACGGUCGCAAGAUUAAAACUCAA
This 381-nucleotide ribosomal RNA is filed under the name uncultured bacterium. RNAcentral's name for it is "bacterial SSU rRNA". It matches the Rfam family "Bacterial small subunit ribosomal RNA", at positions 524 to 904 of the family's 1533-position model. The record is from RNAcentral.